GUCACGUGACACCCGAUCCCGGAACUGAGCGCCCAUGAGGAAAGAUGGCAGCCUCCAUUCCGCUCGCUUUCUGGAAACCCUGCGCUAGCUGAGCACAGUCACAGAGAUGAAUGGGUAUGCGAACGGAUAGCUCUCUCCAGGAUAUUUAUUUUGAAGGGCUUCUGAAGAACAGGAGAGUGAUUAGAAGAGGAAAGUAGUGAUGGGAAGUCUGAUUCAUUUCCAGUUCUUUCGGACAGUUAGUUUCCAUGAACCGGUUCAAAAACCGAUUCAGCGGUUCUUUUACGCCACCAGGAUAUUUUCUGACCGCCCGCUCCCGUCCACAUCUCAUGGAAUCACCAUCCGCUCCUGCCUUCAACUCAGAAAUGUAAUCCCACACCGCAAGAAACAACCUGCGGGAGUUCUGCGGGAAUGCACCUCAGUGUCCUGUCACCAGUGCUUGAAGUGAACAGGACAGUAAUCUCUUCUAUCCCAACUAGAAAAAAAUUAAGGAAGUUGUUUUUAAAGCACUGUUUAAUUAAAUAAUCAAAUUACCUUUGGCAGUCCAAAUAUAUGGCUAAAUUGAAUAGCCUAAACAAAACUGAAAUCCAUGCACAUUCUUUAUGUGCAGGCCAAUGAUAAGAUUAAAAAAUAUAUUCAAUAUCUUCUUUAUUGUCUCAAAACAAUACAAAAUGUAAAAAAUAAAUGUUAUUUGUAGUCUUCUCUGUUUUGUAGUAUUAACAUUUAAUAACAGUUAAUCCAUUAUUUAGCUAAGUAACAUUUGACUAUUAAAAAUUCCUGGAAAUGUACAUAUCUUAUUAUUAUUAUUGUUAUUAUUAAUAUCAGGGAUGUUGAGUAACACUUGAAUGAGUCUGUGCCCCACAUGGGCCACCCCUGUCAAAAAAGGUCUGGACACGCCACUGCUACAAAUUUAAGUCAUUUAAGCUAUAUUAUUAAAUAGCAGACUUUGAAUUUAUGUUGAAUAUAAGGACUGCCUUUUUUAUAACCUACCCCAGUAGUCGACCAGCUGGAUAAGUUGUAAUACUAGUUAUUUGAAAGAAUGGGGAAAAGAAGCAAAAACAUUUGAUCACAUUAUACAGUAUGCACUGUAACAGCUUUAAUGUGAACGACAUAUAACAACAUAUAAAUAUAAGAUCAGCAUGAAUGUGUAUGUGUAGGUUGUGUUUGUGAAUGUGUUUGACAUUUAAAUAGUAGAACACUGUAAAAAAUGAGUAACAUUUACAUAAUUGUUAUUUGCACAGUUUUUCUAAGUAAACUGUAAUGGUAUAAAUUAAGUAAAAUCUACUUGACUUCAUUACAUAGUAUUGAUUAAAGUACAUUUCACUUAAACAUUUCAGUUAAAACAGUAACUUUUUCUUACAAAUCUGAUGUACAUUUUAGUCAAAUUUAAAUGAACAUUUUAUUGGAACAUUUCACAUUUUUAACUUUCCUUUUAAACACAAGUUUAAUCAUGAUCUACCACAUGACAUGACAUAUGGAAAUUAUCCACAGGAAAGAUUAAAGGGUUAGUUCAUCCAAAAACGAAAAUCUUCUCAUCAUUUCCUCACCCUCAUGCCAUCUCAGAUGUGUAUUACUUUCUUUUUCUUUUACAAAUUGUCUUCCCUCCCCAGAAGGGGGCAAUAUGCACAAAGAAUGCAAAUCGCCAAAAACAAAAGAAGAAGAAUGUGAAAGUGAAAGUGGAGAUAUAUAGUAAAAAAGGACUCGCUUGCAUUGUAUUACAGAGCUGAGAUAUUUUUAUAAAAAAAUGUGUUUAUUGUUCUGCAGAAGACUGAAAGUCAUACACAUCUGGGAUGGCAAUGAUGAGAGAAUUUAAAUUUUUGGGUGAACUAUUCCUUUAAUGCAUACUAUUUAGUCUAUUUAACAACAUCACCUUGUAUUACAGGCAAUGAAAAAAGAAACAGGGCUGUGCACGCAGACCUCAACACUUGGUGUGCAAUACACGAUGACGGUAACAAUCAAAAGCUAUUUUUUUUUUUAAUCAUGAGCAGGUAAUUUUGAGUAGAAAAAUCUACAAUAAAAACUGCAAAUAAACUUGCAAACAGUGAAACCAUGCAAGCUCAUUAAUUAUUCAAGCUCUGUGCAUGCUUGGAACACCAUCUUUCAAAGUUAAGUAAAAUUUACUUAUUCAAGUUACCUGUGAAAUGUUCUCAAAUUAGCAAAUAAAUAUGACACGGUUUUCUACUUGAAGACUGAUACAUGAUGCUCCUUGUAAAGAUAACAAACAAUCAUUAAUAAUAUUUCAUUAUAAGCUAGAGCAUUACUUUUUGAAUUUUUGAAUUUAAGUAAAAAUGUAGAAUUUACUUAAAUGUUUCAAUUUCACGCUUAAACUGAUUCAAUGUAAAAAGAAUUUAAUAUUUUCAGAUUGAUUUACUUAAAUUGUUUUCCGAUGUGCACAGUUUCUGUAUUUAUACAGUUAAAAGAAAAAAAAGUGUAACUGCUGCCACUGUAACCCAUAUGGGAGUGCCCAACUAAACCUUUCUUUUAGCUGCUGUAAAGAUUUACAUUGUACAAAGUGGCCAGGCUUUAACAACAAACCUUACUGAUUUUUGCCUGUCUUCAAGUGCAGAUGUUGAAUGUUUGCUUAAACCCCCGUGUGCAUCUUGUAUUUCAAAUGUCUUGGCAUAUUGAAAAAUCAACUGCUGUAAGUUAUAUUACUGGCUUAGAGUGUAAACCAUAAAACUACACAUGACAUAAGAUUUAGGAUGGUACAGUUCUAUGAUGGGAGUAGAGAGACAAGAGCAGACACACUGUGGGUUUAUGAGGUAAUUUACUUUCUUUCCAAACUUUGUCUCAGGUUUUCCACUUAAUGGUUGCUGCUACGUCAGCUUUACCCUUGUAUCCUACACAUGGAAACUUUGAGUCGUUCCAUAUGUGCAGUUACACGAAGCUUUAAGAUCAGGGGGUUCCUCACGUUUGUGGAAAUGUAAAGCAAACAUCUCAGCAACAGCUUAGCAAAUGCUAAGUUGGCUGUGGUGGAUGCCAUAUGUCACACUCUGGCAUUUUUACUGCUAUUUCAAUAUGAUCUGACAAUACAAUUAACAUUGAUUUAAUCUGUUUUGACUUUACAGUUUGUGACCCAGUUAUUUUACUUCAUCUCAGUGGAAAGACAGUGCGCAGGUUGUUUUAAAAUUGUGGGCAAUUACAAGCAUGUAAUUUACUUUAUUAAUCAUGCGAGCAUGCUUAUAAUACACCUUCCCAACCCAAUUUCUCUCAAGCUACAAGAGCAUAUCUUGGCCUAAGGCACAUUUCAACAAUGGAGCAGAGCCAUUUUCCCUCAGGAGAAAAACACCAUUUAAGGGUGGGCUUUCUGUAAAGUUUCUCUUACUCUCACACAUCUUCACCAUUACCUUGUCAUGUAAUAAAUACUUUUACUUUACAUUCAGAGACAGUGACCCGUAUCUCAGAUUCCCUCAUAAAUAUCAUGAAGAGGGUAUUCUAUCUUAAUACCUGUUCUCUGCAGACAUACUUUGACAAAACAAAGGUCAAACUGCAAUGUUGUCCCUUCAUCUUUUAGCACAAAACAAAAGUUUGUUCACAAGAUCUAUAGCUAGCACACUUAUUUAAAAGAUGUGCUCCCUUGUCAACAUACACAUAUUGAAAUUGUGGUUAAAUCUCUGUCUGUCUUUGUCUCUGUGGUGUAAAUGGACACCAGUUAUAGGCCAAAAGGGGCUGCCACUUCUUGCCCAUGACUGCUGACAGGGUGAGGAAAUAUGAUCCAGUGACUAUAAUACUCCAAAGUAUGUUCAACGGUUUUUUUGGGGGAUGGCUGACUGACUGGGAGUGAGAGAUGAUUUGCCGAAGCAACGGCACAAAACGUAACGUUAGAGAUAUUUUAUGUUAUUAUGAGAAGUGCAAAAAUAUUUUCGGUUCAUUAUGAAACUGGCGGGACAAAUUAGACUGUGGCGGGCUAGGUAAUUAAUGGGAAACACUGUAUCAG
Long non-coding RNA from Myxocyprinus asiaticus (Chinese sucker), 3934 nucleotides. RefSeq lists it as uncharacterized. The transcript has 3 exons. The record is from RefSeq and is a predicted model, not a curated record. Lineage: Eukaryota; Metazoa; Chordata; Actinopteri; Cypriniformes; Catostomidae.